This 210-nucleotide long non-coding RNA is filed under the name Lathyrus oleraceus (garden pea). RNAcentral describes it as "Pisum sativum (pea) long non-coding RNA (PSAT_LNC025579)". The record is from RNAcentral. Lineage: Eukaryota; Viridiplantae; Streptophyta; Magnoliopsida; Fabales; Fabaceae.
UUUAGAAUCUGACUUAAGAGUUUAAAAUCAAAGAAAAAAAGUCAACAUUAUGCACCACCCCCCCCCCCCCCUCUUGUGUUUUUCUCACCUUUACUACACACAAAUACAAACAAUCUCCUUCUGAACUUCUUACCCUCACUAUCAAUUAUCACUCACAAUACUAGACUGAAGUCCUUCAACACUGAACCAAAGUCCUACAACACUGAACUA